CCAAUAGCGUAUAUUAAAGUUGUUGCAGUUAAAAAGCUCGUAGUUGAAUUUCGGGAUCAAGGAAUCGGUCAUGCCUUGGUAUGUACUGGUUUUAUUGGUUCUCACCUUCUAAAGAACCAUAAUGUCAUUCAUUUGAUGUUAUGGGGAAUUAGGACUGUUACCUUGAAAAAAUUAGAGUGUUUAAAGCAGGCUUACGCUUGAAUACAUUAGCAUGGAAUAAUGAAAUAGGACAUCAGAUUCUAUUUUGUUGGUUUCUAGGAUCGAUGUAAUGAUUAAUAGGGAUAGUUGGGGGCAUUAGUAUUCAAUUGUCAGAGGUGAAAUUCUUGGAUUUAUUGAAGACUAACUACUGCGAAAGCAUUUGCCAAGGAUGUUUUCAUUAAUCAAGAACGAAAGUUAGGGGAUCGAAGACGAUCAGAUACCGUCGUAGUCUUAACCAUAAACUAUGCCGACUAGGGAUCGGAUGAUGUUAAUUUUAUAAUGACUCAUUCGGCACCUUACG
This 499-nucleotide ribosomal RNA is filed under the name uncultured Glomeromycotina. RNAcentral's name for it is "partial small subunit ribosomal RNA". It matches the Rfam family "Eukaryotic small subunit ribosomal RNA", at positions 591 to 1092 of the family's 1831-position model. The record is from RNAcentral. Lineage: Eukaryota; Fungi; Glomeromycota.